GGCACUCAUUCAAUGAUUAAUAACAAUGCAUGAUCCCUUGUAGAUAAACUCCGUAGGAAUGCUGUCCACUGCAACACAUUAAGGUAACCGACUACAUAUACCCUUCACAUACAACUGUUCCGAGUUUAUAAGACGUGAGAUUAAAAGGUCAUGGCAAUACACUCCUCUCUUACAGCUGCAAAGAGGUCAGAGUUCAUGUAUCUCUCGCCCCCACUCGGGAAAAUGGUCACAAUCAUCUUCCCCUUGUUCUCUUCUCUCGCCGCAACCUGAAGAUACAUUCAUACAUUUCAAUUGGAAGAGUUGUUAAAUACUCCCUCCGUAAAGAAAUAUAAGAGAAAUAUAAGAGCUCUUAUAUUUCUUUACGGAGGGAGUAUCAAAGAAGGAAUGUAUGACAAAACUGAAAACAAAGUUAGUAACUCAUUUUUUUUCUUCUUUAAAUGCAAACCAGGUUUCUAGAUUUUCCAUUCAUACAGAAAAAAUCAAAUUAGAUAUGAGAUCUGAACCUUCAAGCAAGCUGCCAGGUUUGCCCCAGAAGAUAUGCCCACAAGAAGGCCUUCUUCCAUUGCCAACCUCCUGGCAUUCGUCAUUGCGUCCUGAGUGGUCACGGUGACCGUUUCGUCAAAGAUCGAGGUGUCCAAGAUCCUAGGUAAGAAUCCUGGUCCUAUUCCCUGGAUUUUAUGUUUUCCUGGCUCUCCACCUGAACAAUACCAACACGUAAGGCAACAGAGUGUCACUGUCACUACCGUACUAUUUUGCUGACGUUCCAGGGGUUUUAGGGGACUGGUACCACACAAUCUGAAGCAACCAUGUAGCCACAGAAUUAUCUGGACUGCAGGUUUCAAUCAAUCAUGAAGAUACAGUAAAAGCACGAUAUAUUGACAAUUAUUUGCUGCCUAAAAAUGGAAGCAUCCUUUCGAGAUGACAAGUGGAACAUUUUUCUAAAAAAAAUGACGACGACGAUUGGAACUAAUGGACUGACAACUAAACAGCAAGCAGAGUUACAACUGCAUUAGGAACAAAUAUUAGAUGCCAAAACAGUUUGCACAUUCUCUAUGAAGCAUAUAGAAGCACUAGAAAAUAUUUAUCUGGCCUUCAUUAGCCAUUACUGAUGAUUUCCAAGGGAUAUAUGGUAAGCACUCCAUCAGUUUUGAUUUUUUAAUUUCAACAUCAGAUUUUUUUUACCUGAAAUAACUGGACUUUCUGCAGGUUCCACACAAAUGAUCUUCACAUUUGGAUUUUGCAUCUUCAGAUACUUUCCGACACCACAUACAGUGCCUCCUGAGCCUGAACCGGCAACAAAUAUGUCCACCUUGCCAGCAGUAUCCUUCCAAAUCUCAGGUCCUGAAAACAGCAUACAUCUUUUUAAAGAAGUAACUUGCAAAAACAGAUCAAAAGAAAGUACUCCUUCCUUUGAAUAUCAUAGGUCAAGUCAUCUUGGACAGUACCAGUCCAUCUGAUGUGUGCAUCAGGAUUUGCUGGAUUCGAGAACUGAUCAAGAACAUGUACGUUCGGUAAUUCUUUCUUGAGCUGUUCGACCUUGUCAACUAAUCCCGGAAACCCAAGCGCUGGAUCUGUCAUGUGGUCACACAAAGGGAACAAGGUUAAUUACAAAUGCAAAUCACACUGACUGCAAGGAAAACCAGACCUAAGCAAAUAAAUAAACAUCUAUUCUUCCUUGAGGCAGGAAGCAACUAAGAUGAUGCUAUCUAUCUGGAACUUACCGGUUAUGAACAACUCAGCGCCCAUGUAUCUCAACAAGAUCUGCUUAUCAAGCGAGUAUUGGCCCGGCAUCACCGCAACGAACCUGUACCCUUUGCUAAGAGCAACCAGGACCAAUCCUAGGCCCAAAUUGCCGCUGGUCGCCUCGACUAGAGUCGUGACACCGGGUGAAAUCAGCCCAUUCUCUUCAGCAUCCUCAAUCAUCCUGAAGAAAACAUGAAGAAAUAGCACAACAUAAGCUCGCAAUUUCCCAGCAGUUGCAAAAUCAAUUCUGGGAAGUGCAAGAAGAUAUAGUACUUGAAACCACCACCUUAUGACACCAAUCCCUACGACCAAACAAUGAAAAUGAUGCAUAAAGCGUUAAUCCUAGCCUAAGUGUGAAUUUAGCUCCUUUUAGCCCCCGUUGACUUUUCACAAAUUGCCCAACUACUAGCACAAAUGAAACCAGCAGCUCUCUAACCUGAUACCAUCCCAGGAUUUGUGAAAAGAAACUAGCCUGAUCAGAACGAGUUAACACUUAACAGUACAGUACCUGAGAGCGCUGCGGUCCUUGACGGAGCAGAGGGGCUGACAGGCCUCGAUCUUGCCGACGAUGCGGGCACCCACCCCGUCCUUCCCGGCGAUCCGCUUCAGCUCGAUCAGCGGCGUCCACCCUAUAAGCUGAAGAAAAUCAAUCGCUCCCCAUGAGCCUCUCCUAAAUCCAAAGUUCCAAACCCACCUCAAUCUCUGUCAGAGUCGAUAUACAGGGGAAGGGGUCGAGGCUUGCCUGGGUGACGUCGGAGGCGAUGUGCUCCUCCUGCCCGGUCCCGCCGUCGGCGAGCAGGGAAGGGACUCCCCUCCUGCCAGUCCCGUCCGCCCCCUCCCCCGUCGCCAUGGGUGAAGCUGUUGCCCGACGGCCGGCGCUCCCCUGCCGGCUUCUUGGCUUCUCGCGGGAGAAAGACUGACAAGGCAGCAAGCUAGGAUCGAGAAGGGGACAAGCUAGGGAGUAUUUUUCUUCUUUCUUCGGAGCUUUGGUAGCUGCGCAGCCGAGUCUCCGGUCCGCUCCGACCCAAUGGCUAUUAAUUUAAGGAUCAAGAACGUGUCUUUUUUUUUGCCGCCAUUUCGCACCCCCUUGCAAUUGCGUAGAAACCCAAUCCUAUCCACUGGACUGUUCGCCGGAGAACGAGGGUUUUUCCGUCCACAGUUUCGAGCUUUGCGAUUGCAACAGGUACGGGGUCGCAAUCUCAUCUCAGAGCGUGUAUAAAUUAUAAGGGAGGUGCUUAAGACAAAUGCUUGAAUGGUUUUUCCUUCUUGUUUUUUGCCAUGUCCCAUUCGUCGGCAGUUUGGAGAGGGAGAGUUUAUUUGCUGCUUACCAUCGAUCAAAGUGAUUCUUUUUUUUAAACCGGCGUCUCACCCAGGUGCUUAAAGCAUGUUAAUAAUAUAGCCAGCUAAAGACUGUAUGAAACUGUUAGAGCAACUAUAAUAAGGUACAGUCAGCAGGCUGUAAGGAUUAAAAUACUAUAUUUUUGCUGAGUUGGAUGAGAGAGAAGAGGAGGGAGAAGGAAAACGGGCUCUUCGUGAAGAGCCAGCUCUAGCACGUGCUCUUAGGUGCUUUGUGAGAAUGAAAGAUGGGUCAUACUCCCUCCGUCCGGAAAUACUUGUCCUAAAGAUGAAUGUAUCUAGACUUAUUUUAGUUAUAGAUACAUCCAUUAUAUCUAUUUUUAGGACAAGUAUUUCCGGACGGAGGGAGUAUAUGAUAAAAGUAGUACUCUUUUAUAGUUAACUAUUGUACAAGCUAGGUAUAAGAUGAGCUAUAAGACUGCUUAUAGCCAACAGUUGGCUAUACUAUUAACCAUGCUCUUAUGUCAUCUAUAACCAUCAUCUAUAUGCAUCUAUACAACAAACAAUGUAGGCUAUAAGGUUGGCUAUUACAUUAGUAGUUUUCUUCAUUUUCUCUCUAUCUCUUUCUUCACAUUAAUUGUAUUUGCCUAGGAAUGUGUAUAUAGCUAGGCUCUUGCAUAAGAACCCACUCACCUUAUUUUUUUACAUCUCUCUUCUUCACAUAGGCAAAAAUGCCAUGCAAGCGGGCUAUAAGCCCACUAUUGUACUUGCUCUUAGAGCAUCCCAACGGCAGACCAACAAGUUGGAGAACGAGGUGUCCAGAAAAUUAAAACUUUGAGUACUUUCUUCUUUCCUAGUACUCCAUAAUUGCUAUCCAUACAAACUAUGACAUGGUAAUUAAAACUUCGCAACAUCGCAUCAUAGUUGCAUACACAAUGAAAAAACACAUGAAAAUCAGUGGAAAAAAAUUAAAACCAAAAAUUUCUUACUGUCCGGGGUCAUUUCACCAAAAACACUAGAGAAGCCGACCGUUGUGGCACCGGGUGACGCCGGAUCGUCCUCAUUCAACGGUGGGAGGGGCGGUAACGAGCCCCUAGGCGGUGUUCGAAGAGCCGAUGCCGCGAUGGGAGGGAUCGCCGAUAGCGGGGGCGUAGACGCUGUAGUUGCCUUGUUCGCGCGGGGUGCAGCCCCGACCCAUGGAUCCCACGAUUGCUUCUUCGCCUACGAGCAAGCAUUGGCGGCGAUGGUGCAUCGCAAGCUAUAUGAAGUGGACAACCUUCGACCUCUUACCUCCGGCGGUGGAAGGCAUGACUAUGAGGCCGGUGGUCACAUCGGGAAGGCCGGUGGCAUCGCGUCGGGUAUGCCUUCUAUGGCAAUCUUGUGACGGGCGAUGGCCACAACGGGAGGCGAUCGAGCGGUUGGGGUCCUACUACCACAAUGUCAUUUUAGGUCUUGUAGCAGUGGAGACCAACCACUCGUAUAGUAAUAUUUUGGUCUGAAUAAACAAAAAUGGUGACCAUGCAAGUUUUGUUUGGUCCGCUGUUAGAUACGUUUUUGGCAAAAAGAAACAUUUUUUUGUCACGGUUGCAUUCUUUGUAUGUUGUUGAAGAUGCUCUUAGAAAGCUGAUUUCAUCAAGCGUAACUCAUAUGGCUAAGUUCUUUGUAGUGGAAUCAAUCCAUCGAGGUUCAAGUUCUAUACUUGACACAUGUGCUCGCAUUUUUCUGGAUUUAUUUCAAUCAUUUUGGUGAUGUUUGUUCAGUGGGAGCCGACGUUUCCAUCGAUUAUGAUGUGCCUGUGGCGAGGUUCGGGUACUAUAAAGUCAGGGUGUGUGUACCAGCCAGAUAUCCUCCAAAAAUCUCCCGGUACAACCAUCCCUAACCUUCGAACCACUUCUAGUAUAAAACACGGGCUUUACUCUCAUCAAACCCUUUCAAAAGGGUGAGUCUGUGUGGCUAUCUUUUCACUUAAGACAAUUUUCUAUAGUGAAGGUACUUAUUUCGGCGCAACUAUAGCCACACACCCACUAACUGGAGCGUCCAAAGACCUAUGCACGCCCCGUUGAGGAACGUCCUCACAAUCUGUAGCCAGUCUGGUCUAUUUGGGAAGAUGGUGUUGAGAGAGCAACCUUCAAUCCUUCAUCAAUCAAUAUGCCAGAGAUGUUGCAGUUUUUGAUCAUGGAUCUCACGAUGGGGAAUUACUUGAUAUGUACAACCUGAUCGAGAAGUAAGGUUUCUCUCGUUAGACAUGUUGAAUGGGUCUACUUCUUCAUUGUUGUUUGCUAAUGUACAUGUCUUCAUUCUUCAAUGGGCCAUGUACUCCCUCCGAUUCAUCGUGGCGCACUUAGUAUGACUUUGUACUGCAGAGGGAGUAGUUGUUUAUCCAGUUACUUUUGUGAACUCCACUCAGAAAGUGCUUAAAUCUUCUAUCAUUCCCCUCUGGUCGAUUAUAUGUGAUCCUUUACGAGGGCCCUCUUAACUAGUUCAAUAUGUUUAAUUUUGUGUAGGUACUUAAGAUGAAUUAUAUUUGAGUAACUCUUAUGAGCACUUGUACACACUAAAUGAGACCAAGUGCAUUCCAGUAUCAAAUCAUACGUAUGCAUAGUUGAAGAAUCUACAAUAUUUUAAUAUUCACUGUUGAUUGUUAUAAAUGAUGACAUUUGAAUCCAACUAUAGGCCAAGCACAUAGUGUCAACUGGAUAUUAACUCAUGGUAACUUGCAAGACAUAUAUGAUGACACAAAAAUGGGUAAAGGAGCACAUUAACAAUCGAUGACAAGCUCCUCAUAAGAAAGUUGUAUUCUGGAUGUUUCUAUUAGUGUGCUUUCGUAAUCAUUCACUAGAAACCACAUUACACUUUUUAAGAGGAUACUAAUAUACAAAGAACACACAUACACUAUACUCAUGAAAGUGUCAAAAUUAAUCCUCAGAGUCACACCAUCACCCGUUUAUUUAUUUAAUUUGUUUUACAUUAAACGGAUUCAUCAUAAAUAUUUUGUUAAGGGACAAUGUCUCAAAAUGUUAAUGUAUUUUUUAAAAUAAAAUAUGGUUUAAGUUUAGCAGAACACAAGUGCAUCUUUUAUGAAUUACAUACACUCAAAUAGUACAACAAAAACACUACAACACAAAAGUAUAAACGCUUAGUACAAAUUCUAUUUACUUUAUCUUUCCGUGUUGAGUUAUCCUGUCACACAUCAGUCCAUUCAAUUGGAUGCGUCAUGUACCAGCCUUGAUAUAAUAUCAUUUGACUGUAUUUUGAUGCAUCAAGUACUGUAAAUGGACCAUUAUGUUUGUAUAAUGAGCAAAGAAAAACUGCUGCCAAUAUUUGAGAUAACAUUUGGAGUACCGAAUUCUGAACACUAGACACUUCAAUUACUCCAAAUUUACAACAAUUUGCAGUAUCUCAAUUUAUACACUUAAUUGAAGAUUGGAUCAACUUAUACACUUAACUGAACAAAUGAUGACAUCAUUUAAUCAAACUUGAGAAGUUGUCAAACAUUAAGAAGUUGUCAAACAUUAAGCAAGAUGGAGUUUAUCAGUAGUGUGUAGUCCGAUUAAGCAUUCACAGUGUAUUAACCUUCAGAGGAAAGAGGGAUCAACUUUCUGUCAAGGACAACUUCUGGCUUCAUUUUGAUAGUGCCAUCGAUGCCCACGACUGGUAACUGUGAAGAUGGGACAACUGUUGGACCAAUAUGCUUCUUGAUUUGGCUGACAUGGAAUGCGUUGUGGAGCUGGCAACCCUCUGGUAGCAGUAAUUUGUAAGCAUGUUUUCCGAUCCUUUGUAACACCCUGAAGGGACCAUAAUACUUGGAAUGCAGCUUUAGGUGCGUGUGUAAACUGAGAUAUGUGUGUCUGUAUGACUGUAAUUUCAAGUACACCAUAUCUCCCAUUUGGAACUCUCUCUCUUUCCUCUUUUGAUCAGCAUAAUACUUCAUCCUAGCUCGUGCCUUGCUUAAAUUCUGCUUAAUCACCUCCACUGCCAGCUCUCUGUUUUGCAGCAAGUUAUUACUCUCUUACCAAAUAGUGUCCGACAGGGCUGAUUCAGCCACCAUCGGAGGAGGGAAGCCAUACAGAGCCUGAAAUAGAGUCAUUUGCAGUGAUGUAUGGAAACAAGUAUUGUACCACCACUCUGCUAAGGCUAACCAUCCAUGCCAGUUCUUAGGCUACUGAAAACACAUGCAUCUCAAGUAUUUUUCCAGGCACUGCUUGACUCUCUCAGUCUGACCAUCAGAUUGAGGAUGAUAGCUUUUGCUCAUAUGCAGCUUAACCAUCAUAGAUUUGACCAGUUGUUGCCACAAGUUACUUGUAAAGAUUAUGUCCCUGUGUGUAACAAUGACCAAAGGCAUCCCAUGUAACUUAAAUUCAUUGUCAGAGAAAGCCCUGGCCACAGAUUGUACUGUGAUCGGGUGUUUCAUAGCUAUAAAAUGAGCAUAUUUAGUAAAUCUGUCCACUACCACUAGAAUCAAGUCCUUGUUCUCAGAAACAGGCAAUCCCUCAACAAAAUCCAUACUGAUAUGAGCCCAAAAUCAGGAAGUGGGAGGGGUUCCAACAAACCAGGGUAGGGGGAAUGCUCAAUUUUAUUAAGUUGACAGACUGGGCCUUUUCUAACAAAGACAAUCACAUCUUGUUUUAGGCCCUGACAGUGAAAGACUAGCUUCACUCUAUGAUAUGUAGCCCUUUCUCCAGAAUGCCCCCUAGCUCUGAGUUAUGAAACACCUUCAGGAUAUCUUCUCUUAGAUCAGUUGUUGUGCCCACUACUAUUUUGUUUAUGUAUCUGAGUAUCCCAUUUCUAAAAGAAUGAGCACUAGUGCUUCCUUUAUCCACCACAGAAGCAACUACUAAUUCUUUGAUCUUGUCAUGUGCGUCAUAAUUCUUGAUCACUUCUUUGACCCAAGUAGGUGUAGCAGCACUAGCUUUUAGUGAAGAGAAUUUGUGUUUAACCCUUGAUAGUGCAUCAACAGCUCUAUUUUCUUUGCCCUUUUGUAUUCAAUUGUGAAAUUAUAUCCUAGGAGUUUGAGUAGCAACUUAUGCUGAAUUCCUUUGGUGAUUUUUUGCUCUUGGAUAUACUUGCGGCUUUCCUGAUCCGUUUUGAUCACUAAAGCAGUUGCUAGGAAGUAAUGUUUCCAUUUUGUCACUGCCUCAAUAAUUGCCAUUGCCUCCUUUUCAUAAGUUGACAUGGAUGCAGCUUUUGGGCCAAUGGUUUUACUCAAGUAAGAAAUGGGCCCGUCCUCUUGCAUUAGUACAACCCCUAGGCCAUAUCCACUAGCAUCAGUUUCCAGGAUAGAUGGUUUUGUAAAAUCAGGUAGUGCUAAUACAGGGGUGCUAGAAAGUUUGUGCUUCAGGGCCAGAAAGGCUUUUUGUUGGUCCUCUUGCCAAUCAAAUGCAUCUUUCUUCAAGCAAUCAAACAAGGGCAUGCAAAUAAUUCCAUACCCUGAAUAAACCUUCUAUAAUACCCACUUAAACCUAGGAAACUUCUGAGUUCAGUGACAUUAACAGGCACAUGCCACUCCUGUAUAGCUUUGAUUUUGCAAGGGUCUGUGGACACCCCUUCCUCAUUAAUGACGUGACCCAAGUAUUCUACUUCUUUUUGACCAAAAGCGCACUUAUCCAGUUUUGCAUAUAACUUGUGCUCUUGAAGAAUAUCAAAGACCUGUGUCAGAUGGUCGUGAUGUUCCUCUAUAGAGACACUGAAAACCAAGAUAUCAUCAAAGAAUACUACCACAAAUUUGAGGAGGCCAAACAAUAGAUUCAUCAGUAAUUGGAAAGUUGGGGGCCAUUAGUGAGACCAAAGGACAUCACCAAGUACUCAAAUAAGCCCAUAUGUGUGGAGAAAGCAGUUUUUGGUAUAUCUUCUUCAGCCAUUCUUAUCUGAUGAUAACCAUUCCUCAGAUCAAUCUUAGAGAAAUACUUUGCUCCUUUCAGCUGAUCCAGUAAGUCUUCAAUUACUGGUAUUGGGUACUUAUUUUCACAUUGAUAGCAUUCAACUUUUGGUAGUCAGUGCAGAACCGCCAUGAUCCAUCUUUCUUCUUCACUAGCAAAGCAGGGAGGAAAAUGGACUAGUACUAGGUCUUAUUAUUCCUUUCUUUAAUAAGUCUAAGAUAAUCUUUUCCAAUAUCUCCUUUUGGUGAUGGGGCACUCUAUAUGGUCUUUGGUUCACUAGUUUUGCUCCCUCCAUCAAUGGAAUCCUGUGAUCACAAGGUCUACUAGGAGGUAACCCACUUGGCUCUUGGAACAACUGUUCAUACUGUUGUAGGAGGGGUUGUAAUUCAGGUGGCACUUCUUUUGUUGUAACAAUAAAGUCAGUUCGACAAGUAGUGAACAAGAAAAAUUCACACACAUCUUGUUCUAGGAGUUUUUCUGUAUUCUCUUUGGUUUCAGGAACAGUAUUUAAGGGGACAAUUUCAUCAAGAAAUGUUAUCAUUUGACCCUGGCUAGUGGAAAUUGUCAGUUCCAUUUUAACAAAAUCCAUCUGAACUGGGCUAUAUUUCUUUAGCCAAUCCACUCCCAAAAUCAUAUCAUAGCCAGUCAAUUUGAGAACUCUAAAAGUGUCACAGAACUUAUUGCCCUCAAUCUCAUAUGGACAAUUCUUGAAUGUGAAUUCAUUCCACAAGAUCUCCCCACUUGCCACUACUACCUUCACUCUAGUGCUUGCCACAGGUGCAAUUGGCAUUUUGCUAGCCAUCUCAGGGGACACAAAGGUAGGAGUGCUUCCACUAUCCACUAGAGCAGUAGCAGUAAUUUCCCCAAUCUUUACUAACAAUAUGAAUGUAUUUCUAGCAGUACUGAGACCAUUAGCAUCAUGCAAUGACACCUACAACAAUGUCUCCUCUGGGGGUGGUUCCUGUUGUUCCAAAUCAGGGUCCUCAAAGUCUGUUACAUAAAUCACAUCACACUGCUCUGCUUCCUGAGCUUGUAAGGCUUGAAUUUGUGCUUUUUGGCUCAUUCUACACACCUGCCUAUGUCCUGGUACCCAUGGUUCUCUACACUUGUAGCAUACUUGGUUUUGCUUAGCUUGCUGAAUAACAAUAUUUCUAUUAGGUACAGUGCUAUUCCCAGGUGGAUUAGGCUGAUCAAAGUUUACUUGUCUUCUGGUCUGAGGAAAAUAAGGUCUGGUUGGAACUACCACACGUGGUACUUGUGCUCAAUAGGUGUUCUAGGAGGUGAAAAGUAUUGUUCCAAAUUCUGAUAUGUUCAAUUUAGCUGGUUUCACUAACAAAGGGCCCCUUCUGGCAUCCAUUGGAGUGUUCAAUCUUCUCUUGUAACUGUUAUCAUAUCCCUCCACUUCUGGUAGGUUAUCCGACACUACCACAAGCUGUUGUGCUAUGGUAAUUCAUGUUUGUUCUCCUUUGUUCUGUCCAAAAUUCGGAUGUCUGUAAGGGACCUUGGGUGUGCCAUCUAAGUUUAGUUCUUUACCAUUUCGGUCUCUCUAGACAGCAGCGCCUGUUGCUUGCUGUGUAGCUUUGUCGGGCAUUGUCACUGAUGGGGGUGUAGGUGUUGCUACCUGUUUGGGGCUCCGUGGAGCCACACGAGGGGAAACAUUUGGGUUAUCUUUGCCAUGAGCAAUGCCUUGGGCAGACAGCAUAUCGCCUUCCUCUGUUGGUUCCGGCUCUGGAUCGAGCAACAAGCGCCUAAAAUUAUCGUGAAUCUUGUCAAAGAUUUUCUACAUCGUCACAAAAUUCUUGUUGACCAUAGCCUGAAACUGCUGGAACUCCUUCCGAUCUUCCUCUCUCUCUCUCGUUGUAAGGUCUUGAUGUCGAGUUCGAGGGAUUCCAGCUAUAGUUCAACUGUUGUAAUCGAGUCCCCAACCUCUGCCAUCUUGUCCAGCCAGAAUCACCACAACCACUCGGGAGGGAGGGUAGGGAUUGUACCUUGUCGCCACCGCUGAUACCGCCGCCAGCGCCCGCCUCCGAUGGUACACGGACAGAUCUUCGACCCUGGGGUUUUACCACUCGAGAAAUGAGCUCUGGCAACCAGGCAAAAGCUCUGAUUGCACUCGAAUUGUGCCACUCCGACCGCCACCCACUACUUCGUCGCCUAUUUGGGAUCCGGAGAGGGAUUUUACAGCAUCGACCAACCUCUUCGUCUCGCCCACUCCACCAGCCGAGGAAAGACUGGGCCUAUGAUACCAAUUGUCAGGAACUGACUACGUUUGGGAAGUUUAUGAACACUAGAUCACACAAAUUCAGGAGAUUUGGGGGGAUUCAAGUUAGGGUUUAUAACUCACAAAGGGAAAGUGGUUCACCUUGCCACCGGUGGCUAGGGUUUACACCCGAUACAUAAUAAUCAUAGUCCCAAAAGAAAGAGAGGGUGCUGGCUUUAUAGCCAUUACAAAGUAAAGCAGAGCAGGAAAGAAAGGCACGCUCAUAGCUGUGCCAGAAAGUAAUCAACUGUCGAGGCAGCCCGACGAACCGGUAUCUUCAGAUGUGAGCCGUUGGAUGCGAUAUCGUCCUUCCCAGCUUCACCCGACAUGCGGGAACAUGGGACUCUGUUUUACGGCCUGACACAACCGUAGGUGGGCGGUAGCGCAGGUGGGAAGCGCGGUCGCUACAACAGCUGCCGAAGGUGGCUACGAAGACUGCUUGAUCUAGCCAUGGGCGAAGCAGGAAGAAGCAUAAGCGAGGGGGGAUUAGUAGGAGAUUCAAGAUCAGAAGUUUUUUUUUUGCAAAGUCAGAAAUGAACUAAGUUGCGGACAAUCUUUUUCGGACGGAGGGAGUACUAAUAAAAAGCCAGAAGGCAAUUUUCUUUCGUGUUGGUUCUAGUUAUUUUCAGAACAACAUAAAAAUCUAAGAAAUCCAUGGAGGACUCGUAGGAGGGAUCAAGAAGCUGCAAGAACGGGGAGUUGGGGGGAAGGGUUGGCACAUCCAGCCUCCCUACACCGGCCCUCUAGAUUUUGUUUCCAGAAGUGACCUUUGGAGGGCACCUUGUCACUCAUGUGUGCAUCACCCAUAAUUUUUUAUUUCUUGGAGUUACUCCAUGAAUCAAUUAAAAUGUGCACGGGAUCCAGAAACUAACUAGAGAGGACUCCCGAAGAGUUACAAUCUAAUAUAGGGGAGAGGCUCUCGCUCUCCAACCAACCUCCAUCGAUACGAAAACUAGAGAGGACACAUCCCUCCUUGCAAGGGGAGAAUGCCAAGGAAGAGGGAGAUCGACCCCGAUAUGUCUCAAACAUAUCUAUAAUUUUAGUUAUGUUCAUGGUAUUUGUAUAAUUUAUAUGUGGUUUAACAUUUUUUAAUCUUUUUUGGACUAACAUAUUAGUUUGAUGCUAAGUGUUACCUGUUGUUUUCUGGUGUUUUUUGUGCAAUAAGAAAAAGUAUUUCCCAUGAAUAAAAAAUAUUUCGUAAAGUUUUUAGUUAGAAGGAAGGAUGGGCCAAACGUACUAGAGGGCAACAACCAGGGGUCCAUAGCCCCCACAUGCCCAAAGGGUAUGGCACGCGGGGUGAGGGCACCAUAGCCCCCCUCUUCGUCCUGAUGUCUUUAUAUAGUCCUAAAACCCUUAGAGACAAGUGCUGCUAAUUUUUCGAGGCGAUUUAAUCUUGAGUCAUUUUUUUGGUACUCUAUCGGAGGACCAUCACGAACGCCUUCUUCAUCAAUCUUGCUAGUCCCAUGACCAUGUGUGAGUAGUCCUCCUUGCACUAUGGGUCCAUAACAAUAGUUAUAUGACAUCACCUCUGUCAUGUUGUUCAAUACAAAGAUCAGAUGAGCUGCCAACAUGAUUGUGAUCAAUCCUAUGUAAUCCCGAUGAGUUUUUUGCAGGGUGAUGAAUUUCACUUUAUUACCAAUAUAUAUAUGAAUUUUUAUUUGUUUUGUUUUCGUUCUUUUCAGUCUCCAUGCCGCCAAAUCUAAUAUUUGUCUUCACUUGCUAUGGCGUGCCUCUUCCUACUGUGUUACUCAAAUUUAAGGAUGGGAGACCCAGCUGUGAACUUGUUUCUUUGGAUUCACGAAAGCAAAAAAUAUGUUUAUUGGGGGGGGGGGGGGGGGGNNNNNNNNNNNNNNNNNNNNNNNNNNNNNNNNNNNNNNNNNNNNNNNNNNNNNNNNNNNNNNNNNNNNNNNNNNNNNNNNNNNNNNNNNNNNNNNNNNNNNNNNNNNNNNNNNNNNNNNNNNNNNNAUGUUCAACUUGUUAUCCUGGCCUAUGACAAUGUAACAAACAUUGGAUGUGUGCAUCUAUGAUGCAAAGGCCACAGGCCAGAAACAAUAUAUUUUCAUUUUCAAAGAGAAAAAUAAAGAUAAGUUUUUUUUUUUUGAAAAGGAGGAAAGUCCCCGGCCUCUGCAUAGAUAAGUUUUCUUUGUACACCAAAAAAACAACUGGUAUACUAAAUUCAUAACAUAGAUGUUCUGUUUUGGUGCCGUUGUGGCAUAAGAUGAUCUGGUAAUACAUUCGCUCAAUGACCAACAACACUUCAUGAUCCCUUGUAGAUGAAAUCCGUAGCAAGGUCAUGCAACACAAUAUGGUAACCAGCUGCAUUCACCUUUUACACACAACUCUUUUGAAUUUGUAGCAUGUGAGAUCAGAAGGUCAUGGCAAUACACUCCUCCCUUACAGCUGCAAAGAGGUCAGAGUUCAUGUAUCUCUCGCCCCCGCUCGGGAACAUGGUCACAAUCAUCUUCCCCUUGUUCUCUUCUCUCUCCGCGACCUAAAAGGGUUACGAAAGAUCAGGAAGUGAAAUCUUAAGAUAACUCAAACUCAAAGAAAGUUUGCCCC
Molecule: long non-coding RNA, 13734 nt
Filed under: Hordeum vulgare
Lineage: Eukaryota; Viridiplantae; Streptophyta; Magnoliopsida; Poales; Poaceae
Description: long non-coding RNA (HVUL_LNC017649)
Rfam family: MIR1120/MIR1122 microRNA precursor family (bases 3331-3454)
Source: RNAcentral